UACAGAGGUCCCAAGCGUUGUUCGGAUUCAUUGGGCGUAAAGGGUGCGUAGGCGGCGCGGUAAGUCGGGUGUGAAAUCUCGGAGCUUAACUCCGAUACUGCAUUCGAUACUGCCGUGCUUGAGGACUGGAGAGGAGACUGGAAUUUACGGUGUAGCGGUGAAAUGCGUAGAUAUCGUAAGGAAGACCAGUGGCGAAGGCGGGUCUCUGGACAGUUCCUGACGCUGAGGCACGAAGGCCAGGGGAGCAAACGGG
This 253-nucleotide ribosomal RNA is filed under the name uncultured bacterium. RNAcentral describes it as "partial 16S ribosomal RNA". It matches the Rfam family "Bacterial small subunit ribosomal RNA", at positions 524 to 776 of the family's 1533-position model. The record is from RNAcentral.